This 572-nucleotide unclassified non-coding RNA is filed under the name Penicillium citrinum. RNAcentral's name for it is "partial contains ITS1, 5.8S rRNA and ITS2". The stretch from base 238 to 391 matches the Rfam family "5.8S ribosomal RNA". The record is from RNAcentral. Lineage: Eukaryota; Fungi; Ascomycota; Eurotiomycetes; Eurotiales; Aspergillaceae.
CGGCCCGCCGAGGCAAACAUAGGUUCGCAACACGGUGGAGGUUGGGCCCCGAGGGGCCCGCACUCGGUAAUGAUCCUAUCAUCCUGAGUAAGAAUAGACGAGGACGGGCCCCUCGGGGCCCAACCUCCCACCCGUGUUGCCCGAACCUAUGUUGCCUCGGCGGGCCCCGCGCCCGCCGACGGCCCCCCUGAACGCUGUCUGAAGUUGCAGUCUGAGACCUAUAACGAAAUUAGUUAAAACUUUCAACAACGGAUCUCUUGGUUCCGGCAUCGAUGAAGAACGCAGCGAAAUGCGAUAACUAAUGUGAAUUGCAGAAUUCAGUGAAUCAUCGAGUCUUUGAACGCACAUUGCGCCCUCUGGUAUUCCGGAGGGCAUGCCUGUCCGAGCGUCAUUGCUGCCCUCAAGCCCGGCUUGUGUGUUGGGCCCCGUCCCCCCCGCCGGGGGGACGGGCCCGAAAGGCAGCGGCGGCACCGCGUCCGGUCCUCGAGCGUAUGGGGCUUCGUCACCCGCUCUAGUAGGCCCGGCCGGCGCCAGCCGACCCCCAACCUUUAAUUAUCUCAGGUGACCUNGAU